This 444-nucleotide ribosomal RNA is filed under the name uncultured bacterium. RNAcentral's name for it is "bacterial SSU rRNA". It matches the Rfam family "Bacterial small subunit ribosomal RNA", at positions 28 to 451 of the family's 1533-position model. The record is from RNAcentral.
GAUGAACGCUGGCGCCGUGCCUAACACAUGCAAGUCGAACGAAGCAACUGGAGGAAGUUUUCGGAUGGAAUCCGGUUGACUGAGUGGCGAACGGGUGAGUAACGCGUGAGUAACCUGCCCUGGAGUGGGGGACAACAGUUGGAAACGACUGCUAAUACCGCAUAAGCCCACGGUGCCGCAUGGCACAGCGGGAAAAGGAUUUAUUCGCUUCAGGAUGGACUCGCGUCCAAUUAGCUAGUUGGUGAGGUAACGGCCCACCAAGGCGACGAUUGGUAGUCGGACUGAGAGGUUGAACGGCCACAUUGGGACUGAGACACGGGCCCAGACUCCUACGGGAGGCAGCAGUGGGGGAUAUUGCACAAUGGGGGAAACCCUGAUGCAGCGACGCCGCGUGGGAGGAAGAAGGGUUUUCGGAUUGUAAACUCCUGUCGUUAGGGACGAUAA